AGCAGCCGCGGUAAUUCCAGCUCCAAUAGCGUAUAUUAAAGUUGUUGCAGUUAAAAAGCUCGUAGUUGAAUUUCGGGAUCAAUUGAUUGGUCAUGCCUACGGUAUGUACUAGUCAUAUUGGUUCUCACCUUCUAAUGAACCUUAAUGUCAUUCACUUGAUGUUUUGGGGAAUUAGGACUGUUACCUUGAAAAAAUUAGAGUGUUUAAAGCAGGCUUACGCUUGAAUACAUUAGCAUGGAAUAAUGAAAUAGGACAUCGCAUUCUAUUUUGUUGGUUUCUAGGAUCACCGUA
RNAcentral lists this ribosomal RNA (291 nucleotides) under uncultured Glomeraceae. Its description in RNAcentral is "partial small subunit ribosomal RNA". It matches the Rfam family "Eukaryotic small subunit ribosomal RNA", at positions 569 to 864 of the family's 1831-position model. Lineage: Eukaryota; Fungi; Glomeromycota; Glomeromycetes; Glomerales; Glomeraceae. The record is from RNAcentral.